RNAcentral lists this ribosomal RNA (449 nucleotides) under uncultured bacterium. RNAcentral describes it as "partial 16S ribosomal RNA". It matches the Rfam family "Bacterial small subunit ribosomal RNA", at positions 338 to 795 of the family's 1533-position model. The record is from RNAcentral.
CCUACGGGUGGCUGCAGUGGGGAAUUUUGGACAAUGGGGGCAACCCUGAUCCAGCCAUGCCGCGUGCGGGAAGAAGGCCUUCGGGUUGUAAACCGCUUUCGGCCGGAACGAAAUCGCCGGGGAGAACAUCCCCGGUGGAUGACGGUACCGGAAGAAGAAGCACCGGCUAACUACGUGCCAGCAGCCGCGGUAAUACGUAGGGUGCGAGCGUUAAUAGGAAUUGCUGGGGGGAAUCGCUAAGCCGGCUGUUAAAGCCCCGGGCUUAACCUGGGAACUGCGUUUGUGACUGGCGGGCUGGAGUGCGGAAGAGGGAGGUGGAAUUCCACGUGUAGCAGUGAAAUGCGUAGAGAUGUGGAGGAACACCGAUGGCGAAGGCAGCCUCCUGGUCUAGCACUGACGCUCAUGCACGAAAGCGUGGGGAGCAAACAGGAUUAGAUACCCUAGUAGUC